UGGGGAAUUUUGGACAAUGGGGGAAACCCUGAUCCAGCCAUCCCGCGUGUGCGAUGAAGGCCUUCGGGUUGUAAAGCACUUUUGGCAGGAAAGAAACGUCGCGGGUUAAUACCCCGCGAAACUGACGGUACCUGCAGAAUAAGCACCGGCUAACUACGUGCCAGCAGCCGCGGUAAUACGUAGGGUGCAAGCGUUAAUCGGAAUUACUGGGCGUAAAGCGUGCGCAGGCGGUUCGGAAAGAAAGAUGUGAAAUCCCAGAGCUUAACUUUGGAACUGCAUUUUUAACUACCGGGCUAGAGUGUGUCAGAGGGAGGUGGAAUUCCGCGUGUAGCAGUGAAAUGCGUAGAUAUGCGGAGGAACACCGAUGGCGAAGGCAGCCUCCUGGGAUAACACUGACGCUCAUGCACGAAAGCGUGGGGAGCAAACAGGAUUAGA
Molecule: ribosomal RNA, 435 nt
Filed under: uncultured bacterium
Lineage: Bacteria
Description: partial 16S ribosomal RNA
Rfam family: Bacterial small subunit ribosomal RNA
Source: RNAcentral